GCAUACCUUUCGGCGCGGCGUCUAACAAUGUCGUUGCACCCCGCUAGCCUCCAAAACCUGAUGAAUGUCCUUAUACCAUAUUGGUAUUAAUUCAAUGCUACUCGCGGAGGGGAGCAGGCAACGCAAACUUUUGAUCUGUAACCUUCGGUGAGGCUAAAGGAAUGCAGGGGCGAGAGUCCCGAUCUCAAUGUAAAGGACAGUUCACCGGUCAGCCAUAGACACUGCAGACCUGUCCCUCAACCUAAGAGAGCACCUCUAACACGAACCGGCCAGUGGUGUUUGUAUGUAUGUAUGUAUGCAUGUGUGUCUAACUGUGUAUGCGUGUAUAUGCACUGCACAUAUGAAGAUACACACAAGGCCUAACCACGCUACGCGAACUGUGGCAUCACUGUCAACUCAUAGCCAUCUCUUAACCCUCUUACGAUAGAGAUAGUGUGGAGGGCCACUCCGUAUAUUCAGUUAGCAUCCCCGGACACAAAGGAUUUAGCAAUAACCAACCGUUGUGCAGCUCAGCACCAGCCUCUAGUGGUCAGGGUGGGUACUCUUGUUCCUGCAGCGUACCAUAUUAAAUGACUACUUUGAUAAUGCUUGGGAAAUUAUGAAUUUUGUGCUAAUGGAAUAAAAUGCUGCGGAAUAAUAACCAUGGGGUGAAUAUACAGCCCACACACAUGAAAGUGUUACCAAUGUUAGUCACAGGUGGAAGCUACCCGGGACAAGAGACCGAUUCAGGCUUGGAUUAUUGAUGGAUCCUUGACCUGUUUUUGGUAUUCUUACUUUUGUGACAUAAAUGAUGUGUUAACUCUAGAGGCAUUCGACAGGUCCCCAAUAUGAUUGUCACUAUCAUCAUCAAUGUAGUAAUAUUUUUCUUUUCAUAGUUGAGUAAAGUAACUCACCCUAUACUUGCAAUGCAUUUUCCAACAGAAGGUGGGUAAACUUGUUUGUCAUUCAAAAAUGCUAACUUGGUGAGAAUUGGUUCCACAUUGAGGUGAAAUCAUCCAGGCUAUUCAAGUAUUAUGAAAUUAUACAAUUAUAUAAUAUUAAAAAAUGUAAGUCUUAAUGCGGAGCCCCAAGAAAUCAUUCACGGGCACAUGGCGCCCUCUUAUGGACAAGCCCUUAAGUGUAAUAAAGUCAGUUACUAUGUUUACCAUAUUGCUAUAGACAUUGUGGUUAUUGGUGUAAAUAAAGGC
Molecule: long non-coding RNA, 1187 nt
Organism: Esox lucius (northern pike)
Lineage: Eukaryota; Metazoa; Chordata; Actinopteri; Esociformes; Esocidae
Source: Ensembl